This is an RNA transcript of Carassius carassius (crucian carp), 909 nucleotides long. It is a transcript of the gene named DiGeorge syndrome critical region gene 6, with no coding region annotated. The transcript is spliced from 8 exons. NCBI's taxonomy places the organism in Eukaryota, Metazoa, Chordata, Actinopteri, Cypriniformes, Cyprinidae. The record is from RefSeq and is a predicted model, not a curated record.
GCCGCUACUGCGCAUGCGCAGACAUGCACACACAGUUCAAAACAAUCGGAACUUAGGUCUGUUUUAGAUAUUUGUGAUUAAACAUCAUAAACAUCAACCUCGCGUUCGUGUUUAACCCCGACACGCCUUCAGCAUCAAUCUUUUCCUCUCCGGAAGCUGAAAUCUAAAGCGGGCUGAAUGUGGCAUGGACAUGUACUGCGCUGUGAGAGACGAUCCAUCUGAUGCGGCCAGACAACAGGAGAGACACUAUUACCUGCUUUCAGAGCUGCAGACGCUCGUCAAGGACCUGCCCAGCUCGUUUCAGCAGCGUCUGUCCUACACCACGCUCAGUGAUCUGGCUCAGGCACUCAUCGACGGGACGGUGUAUGAAAUAGUGCAAGGGCUGCUGGACAUUCAACACCUGACGGAGAAAAACCUCUACAACCAGAGACAGAAGCUACACAGCGAGCACAGAGCUCUCAAGCAGGAUUUGGUUCGGAAGCACAGACAGUCUCUGCAGACGUGCAAGUCUCACAAUCUGUCCGUUCUGAAAACCACCCAGAAAGCAGAAGCUGAGGCUCUCGAUCAGCGGGUGAAAGAAGAGCAGAGGAUGAUGGACGAGAAGGUCGUGGCUGAGAUGGAUCAGAAGGUUCUAGAUCAGCAGAACACGCUGGAGAAAGCAGGCGUGCCGGGUUUCUACAUCACCACUAACCCACAGGAGGUGAUGAUGCAGAUGAAUCUGCUGGAGCUGAUCCUGAAGCUGCAGCAGAAAGAGACAGUAUCUGGAUCUCUGCUCUGAAGACGUGAAAGAAGGACCCGUUUUAAUCUUCAGAUCUCUGGGAUCUUCAGGACGAGAGAAAAUCACAGACGUGGACUUCAUCCCAUUUGGAGCGGCAUGUCAAAGCCGUGCACCUGUCCUCCUGCACAGAG